CAACCCUCAAGCCCCGCUUGGUAUUGGGCCCCGCCGCCUGGCCGGCCCCAAAGACAGUGGCGGCGUCGCCCGGCCCCGAGCGCAGUACAGCUCUCGCUCCAGGGUCGUGCGGUGGCCUGCCAGAACCCCAACUCUGU
RNAcentral lists this unclassified non-coding RNA (137 nucleotides) under uncultured Myxotrichaceae. RNAcentral's name for it is "sequence contains ITS2". Lineage: Eukaryota; Fungi; Ascomycota; Leotiomycetes; Myxotrichaceae. The record is from RNAcentral.